Molecule: ribosomal RNA, 674 nt
Filed under: Pseudovibrio sp.
Lineage: Bacteria; Pseudomonadati; Pseudomonadota; Alphaproteobacteria; Hyphomicrobiales; Stappiaceae
Description: bacterial SSU rRNA
Rfam family: Bacterial small subunit ribosomal RNA
Source: RNAcentral
CAGAACGRAACGCUGGCGGCAGGCCUAACACAUGCAAGUCGAACGGAUYCUUCGGGAUUAGUGGCAGACGGGUGAGUAACGCGUGGGAAGCUACCUUGUGGUAGGGAACAAACAGUUGGAAACGACUGCUAAUACCCUAUGAGCCCUAUGGGGGAAAGAUUUAUCGCCAUGAGAUGUGCCCGCGUUAGAUUAGCUAGUUGGUAAGGUAAUGGCUUACCAAGGCGACGAUCUAUAGCUGGUCUGAGAGGAUGAUCAGCCACACUGGGACUGAGACACGGCCCAGACUCCUACGGGAGGCAGCAGUGGGGAAUAUUGGACAAUGGGGGCAACCCUGAUCCAGCCAUGCCGCGUGAGUGAUGACGGCCUUAGGGUUGUAAAGCUCUUUCAGCAGUGAAGAUAAUGACAUUAACUGCAGAAGAAGCCCCGGCUAACUUCGUGCCAGCAGCCGCGGUAAUACGAAGGGGGCUAGCGUUGUUCGGAAUCACUGGGCGUAAAGCGUACGUAGGCGGACUGAUCAGUCAGGGGUGAAAUCCCGGGGCUCAACCCCGGAACUGCCUUUGAUACUGUCAGUCUUGAGAUCGAGAGAGGUGAGUGGAACUCCGAGUGUAGAGGUGAAAUUCGUAGAUAUUCGGAAGAACACCAGUGGCGAAGGCGGCUCACUGGCUCCGAUACUG